UUCUGACGAAUACAUACUGUAUUCGACACUAGCCACGACAGGAGAUUGACAUG
This 53-nucleotide non-coding RNA is filed under the name unclassified sequences. The record is from Rfam.